UGUUAAAAGCAUCUGUAUUUACCAUAUAGGAUAAGGCAGUGUAAGUCUACUUCUUUUAAGUAGGCAAAACAAAUCUCAAGCCGGGGGUGUGGUAGUACAACAUACCUACAAUCCCAGCACUGGGAGGCCACAGCAGAAGGAUGGAAAAUUCAAGGUCUUCCUGGGCUAGUGAAAUUCAGUCUCAAAAUUCCAAAAAAAUAACAAAGCAAACAAAAAAGCUACAAAUUCCUACAGACUAGAAUUGAGGAUAACAAGAACUCAGUCAAAGCCAGAGAAAAGGUUUGACCAGAGAAAAGCAGUUGUUUUUUGGCUCAAGGUUAAAGUGGGAAUGCAGGCAGACUUCCCUGGAAAAGGAAACAGUUCUCUGUGACUAUGCCUGAAUACUGAAACAGGCUAAGAUGUUCCUAACCCUUUAGAAGCUUAGAAUACUUAGUCUUUUAAAGAUACAAAAGACAAGUACUGGCUACAACUAUCUAUCCAAAGCUUAUCAAAUUCUAAACCAAAGGCUAAAGAUAUUCCAUGGUAAAAGGAAUACAUAAACAGGACCUAACGAAGUUGAGUUGAGGAAGAGGAAUGCAUCUCUGAACUUUAUGUGAAAUACAGAAAGACAGGCCAGUUUCUAAAAUAUCAAAUUGUCAAUAAAUGUACUUCUUAGAAAGACAUUCAGAGUUUUUUGGUGCCUAGCCCUGAAAGUUUUGCUCUU
Long non-coding RNA from Perognathus longimembris pacificus (Pacific pocket mouse), 703 nucleotides. RefSeq lists it as uncharacterized. The transcript is spliced from 2 exons. NCBI's taxonomy places the organism in Eukaryota, Metazoa, Chordata, Mammalia, Rodentia, Heteromyidae. The record is from RefSeq and is a predicted model, not a curated record.